UUUGUUCGUGCCUGAGCCUUCAGGUUGCUCAUACAUAACUGAAAACAUUUAAUUUAAGCAAGGAUGAGCAUUUGAGUGCCCAGCAAGUAAUAGCAAUUAUAUAUAUAAGCUGAAAGAAUAUAAGUAUUCUCUUUACAUAACACUUCUACAACGAAUCAAAAGUUGUGAAGUAAUCUGUACUGAUAAAAGAUUCACAUAACAACUCUCUUUCAAUUUCUUGAAAUUAGGCUCCACCCAUGAAUAGGGUUUAAGAAACAUACUAUGAACAUUGUUUUUCAUUUUCGAAAAGGUUUAGCAGAAAUUCAUCCGCAAACCGUCAUAACUUACGGGCACGGAGGGUGAUCAGCCCCGUUGUACCCUGUAUUGAUCAAUACUACAUAACUUGAACGAAAUUCAUCGCUCACUCUAUCCGCCUUGGGCGCAAAAAUCUUCCCAUAUAGGGAUGUUCAUACAUGCCUGGUUCCAAACCCGAAGGUUUUUAAUCUUGCUCAACAAUAAUAUGUAAUUCAACAUAUAUGUAUACGGGUAAUUGACAAAGGUAUAUCAACAUGUGAAUAAAUGCCAUGAUUAUCCAAGUGGGGACACUUGUAUAACCAUUUAGAAAUCAACUUAACAGAAUAUAUAUCUGAGCUAACAUGUUGAUAAUCAAAGCGUACAUAAUCUGUACAGGAAUAGAAUAAUUCUGAAACUUCUUACUCAUGUCCAUUGCAUAAAGGAAAUGCAAAGGUAAGAUACUUGCCUGAUUCGCUGAUUACAAAUCUCAACUUAGGUUUUAUCUCUUUAUCACAACCUAUCAAUAAUCAGAUCAUUCGUUCGAUUAGAACAAUAUAUCAUAACACAUAGUACUGUCUAUUACAGUCAGCACAUAGUCUAAUCACGUCAUCACAUAAUCGCAGUGAUCAUACUUUUAGUUCAUAUUCUAUACUUGAAAUAUUUUUAUACAUUUUUCAAAUAUCUCAUCCAUGCUCUUACAGAAGUCUUUUCUUUCUAUUAUAGGGUCUGACAUUUGUCGGCGUACCGACAGCUUUAUCGGGUAAAUACUGAGUCUAAGACUCUUAUCCUAUACCUCAACAUCUGUAAAUAUCAAACAUUUUAUUUUUAAUCAUUUUCGAAUUUUCCAGAAAUUGAAAAAUUUAAAAUAAUUCAAAUCUGUCACUACCGGGCCUAUAGUGAUAUAACUGUUACUAUAGGUGUUCCUCAAAACUUCAUAACUUCAUAAUCGGUUCUCAAGUCAGCUAGUUUGGCCGGCUAUAACUUUCAAACAUCGGAAUCAUAAUUAAAUGAUUUAAACAUUAAACAAUUCCAUUAUCAUUAAUAAUUAAUUUAUAUUAAACUAUUAAUGAAACCAUUGCCAAAAUAUAAAAGUUAUUUAUAAUAACUCAAACUAUUUUUAAAACAUUUAUAUUACCCUUAAAUGAUUUUUAAAACAAUUAAAAUCAUUUUUAAAUAAUCACCAUUAAUAUAUAAAUAUUAAUGUACUAUUCAUCCAAAUAUUAAAAGUCAUUAAUUAUAACUUAAAAUAUUUUUAAAUCCUUAAUAUCCUCUUUAAAUGAUUUUUAAAUAAAUAAAACCAUUUUUAAACUAUUUAUUUAAUAAUAAUUAUUAAAUAAACUAAAUAUCAUUAAUAUUAUCUUAAUAUCAUUAAUAUUAAAUUAUUAAUGAAAUUAUCCUUUAAAUAUUAAAAGUUAUAUUUUAUAACUUAAAAUAUUUUUAAAUACCUUAAUUUCAUUUAAAAUGAUUUUUAUAAUAUUAAAAUCAUUUUUAAACUAAAUUAUUUAAUAUAAUCAUUAAAUAACUUUAAUAUCAUUAAUAUAUAAUUAAUUAAUGAAAUUCAUCACAAAAUAUUAAAAGUCAUGGAAAAUAACUUAAAAUAUUUUCUUAUACCAUAAAAUAAUUUUUCAUGAUUUUUCAUGAAUUAAAACUAUUUUUAAAUCAUUUAUUUAAUAUUAUAAUUAAAUAAAUAAAUACCUUUUAUAUUCCAAAAAUAUUAAAUAUUUAUGAAAUAUACUCAAAAUAAUUAAAAACUAUUUUUCGGACUUUAAAAUAAUUUUUUAGAAUUUAAUAAGUAUUUUUAAUAAUUAAAAUCUAAUUUUUCUAAUUUUUAAAUCAUUUUCGGAAAUUACAGAAAAUAAAAUAAAUAAAAUCCGUCGCUAAAGGCUAUAGCGACAGACAACCGUCGCUAUAGGUGUUCUUCAUCUCAAGAACACUGUCAGAGACAGUUCAAGGAGGCUACUUUGACCAUGAAUAACUUUUUGGUCUUAAUGAAUCUGGGCAAUCUAUGAAUUGGGUCUUGUAGAGGAAAUACCAGACUACAAUUACCAACAAUCAUAACCUCUAAAAAACAUCAGAUCUGGGAGAAAUCGUACCUCAAAGUAGCUGUCAGAGCUGUUCUUCGUGAAGAACAGUUCGUGAUGCCUACUUUGGACCUCUAUAACUUGAUGAUCGUGAAAUGUUUACGUGAUCUAUCAAUUCCAGUGUGUAGAAAACAUGUAGGACUACAACUCCAACACUUAACAUCAUCAUAACAACAAUAAAUCAAGCAUCUAAAGUAUGGUCAAACCUUGUAAGAAAAAUCAACACUUAGAAAAUUCUGGGCUGCCCAGAAUUUUCCGGUCAAUGCCGGUCAACCCAGUUUGACCUUAAAUAACUCUUAAUCCAUAAUAUAUAUGGACCUGAUUUGUUUUGGAGGUUAAAUACCACAUAACAAGCUACACAUAACAACCUUUAUAACACAAAACACAUUAAAGAUAACCGAAAUAUAAGGCCUGACAUUUUCCAAAAUAAUAUUUUCUGGACACUUAGAAUAUUUUCUGGGUUUGAAGAACAGCUGGUCAAUGCCGGUCAACUCACUUUGACCGCUUAUAAAUCCCGAUCUACAAUAGCUAUGAACUUUAUUCCUUUUGGAGAUUAAAUACCACAUAUCAGGCUACCUAUAACAACUUUUAAACAACAAAACUCGAGAUCGACCAAAGAGUUAUAGCCUCUGACAUUUGGUGAAAAAUAACAGAAUUCGGUUUUUCCAACUUGCUCAAAUCUUCAAAUUCGUGCACUUUGAUGUUAUGGGUUCAUGAUUUUACAACCCAGAACAUUAAUAGACUCUCUAUUACACUACUUUAAACAAUCAAUUGCAUCAAUUAACGUCGAAUCAAAGGAUUUCAAAAUUAGGGAAUUUCAUACAUUUUCUCACUUUGAUUUCUUGAUUUCUGACUUUGAUCUUGUGUUUUUGAUGCUUGUGAUCGUGGGGCUGUACUUAGGAGUGCAUGGGCAAGUGUUUUUGGGAGCUAAGAGGUUGAGAGAGCAUAGCUAGAAGAGUUGGGCAAUUUUAGUGUACAAAUGAGCUUAAUCCUCACUUAAUCUCUAUUUAUAGAAUAAUUCAAAUGCCUUGGAUGCU
RNAcentral lists this long non-coding RNA (3391 nucleotides) under Panax ginseng (ginseng). Its description in RNAcentral is "long non-coding RNA (PGIN_LNC001966)". The record is from RNAcentral. Lineage: Eukaryota; Viridiplantae; Streptophyta; Magnoliopsida; Apiales; Araliaceae.